Molecule: ribosomal RNA, 505 nt
Filed under: uncultured bacterium
Lineage: Bacteria
Description: bacterial SSU rRNA
Rfam family: Bacterial small subunit ribosomal RNA
Source: RNAcentral
AGUUUGAUCCUGGCUCAGGAUGAACGCUAGCGGCAGGCUUAAUACAUGCAAGUCGUGGGGCAGCGCAGGUAGCAAUACUGGGCGGCGACCGGCAAACGGGUGCGGAACACGUACACAACCUUCCUACAAGUGGGGGAAUAGCCCAGAGAAAUUUGGAUUAAUACCCCGUAACAUAACGAUGUGGCAUCACAUUGUUAUUAUAGCUUCGGCGCUUGUUGAUGGGUGUGCGGCUGAUUAGAUAGUUGGCGGGGUAACGGCCCACCAAGUCUACGAUCAGUAGCUGAUGUGAGAGCAUGAUCAGCCACACGGGCACUGAGACACGGGCCCGACUCCUACGGGGAGGCAGCAGUAAGGAAUAUUGGUCAAUGGACGAAAGUCUGAACCAGCCAUGCCGCGUGAAGGAUUAAGGUCCUCUGGAUUGUAAACUUCUUUUUAUCUGGGACGAAAAAAGGCGAUUCUUCGUCACUUGACGGUACCAGAUGAAUAAGCACCGGCUAACUCCGUG